UUUUUGAACUCUUCGGUUGCUGUAUAGGUCUCAAUUGAGUAUGGAUUAUGUGAAGUAUUAAGUAGGGAAGCUAUAAGUCCUAAUUUGGCUCCUAAAGACGGGAACUGGGGUUUCGAUAUCUCCAAACUUGAAGAGACGCUCCCGGCUGGGACAGUGGAUCACUCUGCAGAACGUGUGUACCAAGAGUUGCCCAAGUGGGAGGAGUCUUUGAUGGACGCAAGGGCUCGGUGUCUAAACAGGUUAUUCAUGCACUGGCAGACAAUAUCCUCGUGAAAACUUGUUGCUUAUCACACAUGGGGAAGGAGUUGGCAUUGCAGUAUCUGCAUUUAUGAAGGACACAACUGUGUAUGAAGUAGAAUAUUGUGGAUAUGCACACACAGGAAGA
Long non-coding RNA from Telopea speciosissima, 385 nucleotides. RefSeq lists it as uncharacterized. The record is from RefSeq and is a predicted model, not a curated record. The transcript is spliced from 3 exons. Lineage: Eukaryota; Viridiplantae; Streptophyta; Magnoliopsida; Proteales; Proteaceae.